This 1039-nucleotide ribosomal RNA is filed under the name Sciurus niger rufiventer. Its description in RNAcentral is "partial 16S ribosomal RNA". It matches the Rfam family "Bacterial large subunit ribosomal RNA", at positions 908 to 2593 of the family's 2925-position model. Lineage: Eukaryota; Metazoa; Chordata; Mammalia; Rodentia; Sciuridae. The record is from RNAcentral.
GUCCAGAUUAGAAUUUUAGUUCAACCUUAAAUUUACCUAAAAGAAUUAUUAAUCCUAAUGUAAAUUUAAUAGUCAUUCUAAAGAGGUACAGCUCUUUAGACAAAGGAAAUAGCCUUAAUUAGAGAGUAAACUAUAAACCCCACAUAGUUGGCUUAAAAGCAGCCAUCAAUUAAAAAAGCGUUCAAGCUUAACUUAAUUAUCCAACCCAACUUAAUCCCACACCUAAUUAUGAACUCCUAAUUUCAUAACUGGACUACUCUAUAAUUUUAUAGAUGCAAUAAUGUUGAUAUUAGUAACAAGAAAUAAUUCUCCUUGCACAGGCUUAUAUCAGACCGAAUAAUUCACUGAUAGUUAACAGAUGUAUAAUUAUACUUAAAAUCUUAAAUCUUUAUUACUAAAACUGUUAACCCAACACCGGCGUGCAAUAAAGGAAAGAUUAAAAAAAGUAAAAGGAACUCGGCAAACAUUAACCCCGCCUGUUUACCAAAAACAUCACCUCUAGCAUUACUAGUAUUAGAGGCACUGCCUGCCCAGUGACAUGUGUUCAACGGCCGCGGUAUCCUGACCGUGCAAAGGUAGCAUAAUCAUUUGUUCCUUAAAUAGGGACUUGUAUGAAUGGCUACACGAGGGUUAAACUGUCUCUUACUUUUAAUCAGUGAACUUGACCUUCCCGUGAAGAGGCGGGGAUAACAUAAUAAGACGAGAAGACCCUAUGGAGCUUAAAUCUGCCAGCUUAAGCAUCUACUAACUCCUCCCAACAGGGAUUAAUUCAUCUGCCUCAUUAAGCUUAAGAUUUUGGUUGGGGUGACCUCGGAGUAUAAAACAACCUCCGAAUGAUUUUAGUCUAGACCAGACCAGUCAAAACAACUAUUCAUUAAUUGACCCAAAUUAUUGACCAACGGAACAAGUUACCCUAGGGAUAACAGCGCAAUCCUACCCAAGAGUCCAUAUCGACAGUAGGGUUUACGACCUCGAUGUUGGAUCAGGACAUCCAAGUGGUGCAACCGCUACUAAUGGUUCGUUUGUUCAACGAUUAAAG